CUAGCCUGCCCCAGAUGUAUAAAUUUACCGGACGCGGUAGUAUGACCGUGCUAAGGUAGCAUAAUAAUUAGUCCUUUAAUUGGGGACUGGUAUGAACGGUUGAACAAGAAAUUAACUGUCUCUAUUGAAAACUUAGAAUUAUACGUUUAAGUGAAAAGGCUUAAAUGGAAUGGGGGGACGAUAAGACCCUAUAAAUCUUUAUAUUUCGGUCAGUAAAUUUUAGAGAUUAGUUAUACAUUUAGUGUUAUUGAACUCAAAUAUUUUGUUGGGGCGACAGGAGUAUAAUAAGUCACUGCUUUGUUUAUAAGUUAAUUAUGUUUAUUUUGAAAACCAAUAUUGAUCCUUUCUAGAGAAAUCAGACUAAGUUACUUUAGGGAUAACAGCGUAAUCUUUUUUGAGAGUUCAUAUCGAAAAAAUGGGUUUGCGACCUCGAUGUUGAAUUAAAGAUCCUUGACGGCGUAGGGGC
This 466-nucleotide ribosomal RNA is filed under the name Panulirus regius. RNAcentral's name for it is "partial 16S ribosomal RNA". It matches the Rfam family "Bacterial large subunit ribosomal RNA", at positions 1901 to 2562 of the family's 2925-position model. The record is from RNAcentral. Lineage: Eukaryota; Metazoa; Arthropoda; Malacostraca; Decapoda; Palinuridae.